RNAcentral lists this transfer RNA (91 nucleotides) under Micromonospora sp. AKA109. Its description in RNAcentral is "tRNA-Thr". The record is from RNAcentral. Lineage: Bacteria; Bacillati; Actinomycetota; Actinomycetes; Micromonosporales; Micromonosporaceae.
CGGCGAGGUGGGCCGGUACGGCGGGGCGGGCGGUGGCCGUCGGCCGGGCCCGGAUGACCGGUUCCGCCGGUGCCGGGCCCGGUUCCGCCGG